Molecule: ribosomal RNA, 501 nt
Filed under: uncultured bacterium
Lineage: Bacteria
Description: partial 16S ribosomal RNA
Rfam family: Bacterial small subunit ribosomal RNA
Source: RNAcentral
AUUGAACGCUGGCGGCAUGCCUUACACAUGCAAGUCGAACGGCAGCACGGGUGCUUGCACCUGGUGGCGAGUGGCGAACGGGUGAGUAAUACAUCGGAACGUACCUUAUCGUGGGGGAUAACGCAGCGAAAGCUGUGCUAAUACCGCAUAAGCCCUGAGGGGGAAAGCGGGGGAUCGAAAGACCUCGCGCGAUUAGAGCGGCCGAUGCCUGAUUAGCUUGUUGGUGGGGUAAAAGCCCACCAAGGCGACGAUCAGUAGCUGGUCUGAGAGGACGAUCAGCCACACUGGGACUGAGACACGGCCCAGACUCCUACGGGAGGCAGCAGUGGGGAAUUUUGGACAAUGGGGGCAACCCUGAUCCAGCAAUGCUGCGUGAGUGAAGAAGGCCUUCGGGUUGUAAAGCUCUUUUGUCAGGGAAGAAACAGCAGCUCUAACACAGUCUGCGAAUGACGGUACCUGAAGAAUAAGCACCGGCUAACUACGUGCCAGCAGCCGCAGUAA